GGGAGCCGCAAGGUGACUGCGUACCUUUUGUAUAAUGGGUCAGCGACUUACUUUCAGUAGCAAGGUUAACCGUUUAGGGGAGCCGUAGAGAAAUCGAGUCUUAACUGGGCGAACAGUUGCUGGAAGUAGACCCGAAACCGAGCGAUCUAUCCAUGGCCAGGAUGAAGGUUAGGUAACACUGACUGGAGGUCCGAACCCACAUCUGUUGAAAAAGAUGGGGAUGAGCUGUGGAUCGGAGUGAAAGGCUAAUCAAGCUCGGAGAUAGCUGGUUCUCCUCGAAAGCUAUUUAGGUAGCGCCUCAUGUAUCACCCUCGGGGGUAGAGCACUGUUUCGGCUAGGGGGCCAUCCCGGCUUACCAAACCGAUGCAAACUCCGAAUACCGAGGAGUGCAAUCAUGGGAGACACACGGCGGGUGCUAACGUCCGUCGUGGAAAGGGAAACAACCCAGACCGCCAGCUAAGGUCCCAAAAUCUAGAUUAAGUGGGAAACGAUGUGGGAAGGCACAGACAGCUAGGAGGUUGGCUUAGAAGCAGCCACCCUUUAAAGAAAGCGUAAUAGCUCACUAGUCGAGUCGGCCUGCGCGGAAGAUGUAACGGGGCUAAAUCUAGUACCGAAGCUGCGGAUCUCGUAAGAGAUGGUAGAGGAGCGUUCUGUAAGUCUGUGAAGGUGAAUCGAGAGGUUUGCUGGAGAUAUCAGAAGUGCGAAUGCUGACAUGAGUAACGAUAAAGGGGGUGAAAAACCCCCUCGCUGAAAGACCAAGGGUUCCUGUCCAACGUUAAUCGGGGCAGGGUGAGUCGACCCCUAAGGCGAGGGCGAAAGCCGUAGUCGAUGGGAAACAGGUUAAUAUUCCUGUACCACCACGUGAUGCGAUGGAGGGACGGAGUAGGCUAGGUGAUCCGGGCGUUGGUUGUCCCGGUUCAAGGAUGUAGGCAGAGAGCUUAGGCAAAUCCGGGCUCUUAAUGCUGAGAUCUGAUGUCGAGUGUCUACGGACACGAAGUCAUUGAUGCCAUGCUUCCAAGAAAAGCUUCUAAGCUUCAGUCACGUGGGAUCGUACCCGAAACCGACACAGGUGGUCAGGUCGAGAAGACCAAAGCGCUUGAGAGAACUUGGGUGAAGGAACUAGGCAAAAUGGCACCGUAACUUCGGGAGAAGGUGCGCCGGUGACGGUGAUGGACUUCGCGUCCUAAGCUAUUGCCGGUCGAAGUAACCAGGCCGCUGCGACUGUUUAUUAAAAACACAGCACUCUGCAAACUCGAAAGAGGACGUAUAGGGUGUGACGCCUGCCCGGUGCCGGAAGGUUAAUUGAUGGGGUUAGCGUAUGCGAAGCUCUUGAUCGAAGCCCCGGUAAACGGCGGCCGUAACUAUAACGGUCCUAAGGUAGCGAAAUUCCUUGUCGGGUAAGUUCCGACCUGCACGAAUGGCGUAACGAUGGCGGCGCUGUCUCCACCCAAGACUCAGUGAAAUUGAAAUCGCUGUUAAGAUGCAGUGUAUCCGCGGCUAGACGGAAAGACCCCGUGAACCUUUACUAUAGCUUCACAGUGGACUUUGAAUAUGUUUGUGUAGGAUAGCUGGGAGACUUUGAAACCGGGACGCCAGUCUCGGUGGAGUCAACCUUGAAAUACCAGCCUGACAUGUUUGAGGUUCUAACCCAGAUCAGUGAAUCCUGAUCGGGGACAUUGUGUGGUGGGUAGUUUGACUGGGGCGGUCUCCUCCCAAAGAGUAACGGAGGAGCACGAAGGUACCCUCAGCAUGGUCGGAAAUCAUGCAAUGAGUGCAAGGGCAUAAGGGUGCUUAACUGCGAGACUGACAAGUCGAGCAGGUGCGAAAGCAGGUCCUAGUGAUCCGGUGGUUCUGUAUGGAAGGGCCAUCGCUCAACGGAUAAAAGGUACUCCGGGGAUAACAGGCUGAUACCGCCCAAGAGUUCACAUCGACGGCGGUGUUUGGCACCUCGAUGUCGGCUCAUCACAUCCUGGGGCUGAAGCCGGUCCCAAGGGUAUGGCUGUUCGCCAUUUAAAGUGGUACGCGAGCUGGGUUUAGAACGUCGUGAGACAGUUCGGUCCCUAUCUGCCGUGGACGUUGGAAAUUUGAGAGGGGCUGCUCCUAGUACGAGAGGACCGGAGUGGACGAACCCCUGGUGUUCGGGUUGUCACGCCAGUGGCAUUGCCCGGUAGCUAUGUUCGGAAAGGAUAACCGCUGAAAGCAUCUAAGCGGGAAACCUGCCUCAAGAUGAGAUUUCCCGGGCCUUCGGGCCCCUAAAGGACCGUAGAAGACUACUACGUUGA
This 2282-nucleotide ribosomal RNA is filed under the name marine metagenome. Its description in RNAcentral is "bacterial LSU rRNA". It matches the Rfam family "Bacterial large subunit ribosomal RNA", at positions 575 to 2856 of the family's 2925-position model. The record is from RNAcentral.